CAGCCCAUGCUUAUGUCAUGUGGGUUCAAUGCGGUCAGCCCACAUGGGUUUCCCAUGUUGAGCCCAUGAUAAUGAAACUGCAUGGGCCCCACAUAGUGUUGCCCAUUUCUGUCCCAUCCCCAGUUAGCCCACAUAAAAAAGGAAUGGGGCCUACAUACCCAUGCCCAGGUCCAACCCAUGUACGGUCAGCCCAUGCUUAUGUCAUGUGGGUUCAAUGCGGUCAGCCCACAUGGGCUUCCCAUGUUGGGCCCAUGAUACUGAAACUACAUAGGCCCCAUAUAGUAUUGCCCAUUUCUGCCCCAUUCACAGUUAGCCCACAU
Long non-coding RNA from Poecilia latipinna (sailfin molly), 320 nucleotides. RefSeq lists it as uncharacterized. NCBI's taxonomy places the organism in Eukaryota, Metazoa, Chordata, Actinopteri, Cyprinodontiformes, Poeciliidae. The record is from RefSeq and is a predicted model, not a curated record. The transcript is spliced from 2 exons.